RNAcentral lists this ribosomal RNA (253 nucleotides) under uncultured bacterium. RNAcentral's name for it is "partial 16S ribosomal RNA". It matches the Rfam family "Bacterial small subunit ribosomal RNA", at positions 524 to 776 of the family's 1533-position model. The record is from RNAcentral.
UACGUAGGGCGCAAGCGUUAUCCGGAAUUAUUGGGCGUAAAGAGCGUGUAGGCGGCUAGAUAGGUCCGUUGUGAAAACUCGAGGCUCAACCUCGAGACGUCGAUGGAAACCAUCUGGCUAGAGUCCGGAAGAGGAGAGUGGAAUUCCUGGUGUAGCGGUGAAAUGCGCAGAUAUCAGGAAGAACACCCGUGGCGAAGGCGGCUCUCUGGUACGUGACUGACGCUGAGACGCGAAAGCGUGGGGAGCAAACAGG